UCGGGAAUUUUGGGCAAUGGGCGAAAGCCUGACCCAGCAACGCCGCGUGAGGGAUGAAGGUCCUCUGGAUUGUAAACUUCUUUUAUCUGGGACGAAAACGGGAUUUUUAUCUCAAUUGACGGUACCAGAGGAAUAAGCACCGGCUAACUCCGUGCCAGCAGCCGCGGUAAUACGGAGGGUGCGAGCGUUAUCCGGAUUUACUGGGUUUAAAGGGUGCGUAGGUGGGCUUAUAAGUCAGUGGUGAAAUCUCCGAGCUUAACUUGGAAACUGCCGUUGAUACUAUAGGUCUUGAAUUAUCUGGAGGUAAGCGGAAUAUGUCAUGUAGCGGUGAAAUGCUUAGAUAUGACAUAGAACACCAAUUGCGAAGGCAGCUUACUACAUAUAAAUUGACGCUGAGGCACGAAAGCGUGGGGAUCAAACA
Molecule: ribosomal RNA, 421 nt
Filed under: uncultured bacterium
Lineage: Bacteria
Description: bacterial SSU rRNA
Rfam family: Bacterial small subunit ribosomal RNA
Source: RNAcentral